Long non-coding RNA from Oncorhynchus keta (chum salmon), 1196 nucleotides. RefSeq lists it as uncharacterized. The record is from RefSeq and is a predicted model, not a curated record. The transcript is spliced from 3 exons. NCBI's taxonomy places the organism in Eukaryota, Metazoa, Chordata, Actinopteri, Salmoniformes, Salmonidae.
UACUGGAGUGAUGGAGGUAGAUAUAUAUAGGGGUAAGGAGACAGGGAUACUGGAGUGAUGGAGGUAGAUAUGUAUAGGGGUAAGGAGACAGGGAUACUGGAGUGAUGGAGGUAGAUAUGUAUAGGGGUAAGGAGACAGGGAUACUGGAGUGAUGGAGGUAGAUAUGUAUAGGGGUAAGGAGACAGGGAUACUGGAGUGAUGGAGGUAGAUAUGUAUAGGGGUAAGGAGACAGGGAUACUGGAGUGAUGGAGGUAGAUAUGUAUGUUAGGUGACAGGGAUACUGGAGUGAUGGAGGUAGAUAUAUAUAGGGGUAAGGAGACAGGGAUACUGGAGUGAUGGAGGUAGAUAUGUAUAGGGGUAAGGAGACAGGGAUACUGGAGUGAUGGAGGUAGAUAUGUAUGUUAGGUGACAGGGAUACUGGAGUGAUGGAGGUAGAUAUGUAUAGGGGUAAGGAGACAGGGAUACUGGAGUGAUGGAGGUAGAUAUGUAUGUUAGGUGACAGGGAUACUGGAGUGAUGGAGGUAGAUAUGUAUAGGGGUAAGGAGACAGGGAUACUGGAGUGAUGGAGGUAGAUAUGUAUAGGGGUAAGGAGACAGGGAUACUGGAGUGAUGGAGGUAGAUAUAUAUAGGGGUAAGGAGACAGGGAUACUGGAGUGAUGGAGGUAGAUAUGUAUAGGGGUAAGGAGACAGGGAUACUGGAGUGAUGGAGGUAGAUAUGUAUAGGGGUAAGGAGACAGGGAUACUGGAGUGAUGGAGGUAGAUAUGUAUAGGGGUAAGGAGACAGGGAUACUGGAGUGAUGGAGGUAGAUAUGUAUGUUAGGUGACAGGGAUACUGGAGUGAUGGAGGUAGAUAUGUAUAGGGGUAAGGAGACAGGGAUACUGGAGUGAUGGAGGUAGAUAUGUAUGUUAGGUGACAGGGAUACUGGAGUGAUGGAGGUAGAUAUGUAUAGGGGUAAGGAGACAGGGAUACUGGAGUGAUGGAGGUAGAUAUAUAUAGGGGUAAGGAGACAGGGAUACUGGAGUGAUGGAGGUAGAUAUGUAUGUUAGGUGACAGGGAUACUGGAGUGAUGGAGGUAGAUAUGUAUGUUAGGUGACAGGGAUACUGGAGUGAUGGAGGUAGAUAUGUAUGUUAGGUGACAGGGAUACUGGAGUGAUGGAGGUAGAUAUGUAUGUUAGGUGACAGGGAUACUGGAGUG